Molecule: ribosomal RNA, 432 nt
Filed under: uncultured bacterium
Lineage: Bacteria
Description: partial 16S ribosomal RNA
Rfam family: Bacterial small subunit ribosomal RNA
Source: RNAcentral
AACGAACGCUGGCGGCAUGCCUAACACAUGCAAGUCGAACGAUCCCUUCGGGGAUAGUGGCGCACGGGUGCGUAACGCGUGGGAACCUGCCCUUAGGUUCGGAAUAACUCAGAGAAAUUUGAGCUAAUACCGGAUAAUGUCUUCGGACCAAAGAUUUAUCGCCUUUGGAUGGGCCCGCGUUGGAUUAGCUAGUUGGUGGGGUAAAGGCCUACCAAGGCGACGAUCCAUAGCUGGUCUGAGAGGAUGAUCAGCCACACUGGGACUGAGACACGGCCCAGACUCCUACGGGGGGGGGCAGGGGGGAAUAUUGGAAAAGGGGCGAAAGCCUGAUCCAGAAAUGCCGGGGGAGGGAGGAAGGCUUUAGGGUUUUAAAGCUUUUUUACCCGGGAUGAUAAUGACAGUACCGGGAGAAUAAGCCCCGGCAAACCCCGU